RNAcentral lists this long non-coding RNA (316 nucleotides) under Lathyrus oleraceus (garden pea). Its description in RNAcentral is "Pisum sativum (pea) long non-coding RNA (PSAT_LNC002684)". The record is from RNAcentral. Lineage: Eukaryota; Viridiplantae; Streptophyta; Magnoliopsida; Fabales; Fabaceae.
AACGGUGGACUUGAGUUUCAAUUGUGGUGGAAGAGUGGAUGAUCUCCAAGAUUAGCACUCUAAUGCCCAAGUCAGUAUGAGAGUAAAAAGAGAUGAAUGAGAUUUAAAUUCCAAUUUCUUGAGAAAUGACGCGCUCUCUCAUUUAUAUAGUAGGACGAUUAUAACAACUUGUUGAUCUAUUGGUGUAAGAUGCAUAUAUUCGUCUGAUGGAUCUUGAAUUGAGAUCACUUGCAUUAUUGACUAGGAUAAAUACAUGUUCCACAUGUGUCACUGUGGAUCAUUCUACCAUCUAGAUCAUGAUUGUUGGAUCUUCUGG